UGGGGAAUUUUGGACAAUGGGGGCAACCCUGAUCCAGCAAUGCCGCGUGAGUGAAGAAGGCCUUCGGGUUGUAAAGCUCUUUUGUCAGGGAAGAAAAGGGUACGGCUAAUAUCCGUACCUCAUGACGGUACCUGAAGAAUAAGCACCGGCUAACUACGUGCCAGCAGCCGCGGUAAUACGUAGGGUGCAAGCGUUAAUCGGAAUUACUGGGCGUAAAGCGUGCGCAGGCGGUUUUGUAAGUCUGUUGUGAAAUCCCCGGGCUUAACCUGGGAAUGGCAAUGGAGACUGCAAGGCUAGAGUUUGGCAGAGGGGGGUAGAAUUCCACGUGUAGCAGUGAAAUGCGUAGAGAUGUGGAGGAACACCGAUGGCGAAGGCAGCCCCCUGGGUCAAGACUGACGCUCAUGCACGAAAGCGUGGGGAGCAAACA
Molecule: ribosomal RNA, 427 nt
Filed under: uncultured Massilia sp.
Lineage: Bacteria; Pseudomonadati; Pseudomonadota; Betaproteobacteria; Burkholderiales; Oxalobacteraceae
Description: bacterial SSU rRNA
Rfam family: Bacterial small subunit ribosomal RNA
Source: RNAcentral